Molecule: non-coding RNA, 9238 nt
Organism: Callithrix jacchus (white-tufted-ear marmoset)
Lineage: Eukaryota; Metazoa; Chordata; Mammalia; Primates; Cebidae
Source: RefSeq, a predicted model, not a curated record
ACAUAAAACUAACCAAUGGCUGGAAAGCCCCUAUGCCCUACCCAAGCUGUCCCUCCUCCCUCGCAGCUGAGCUUUUCUUUCAGUCCUUCACUGAGGAGCCAAAGGGAAUCAAUUCCACAAGUUGAGGAGAACAGGAGAUGGAGAAAGCAAGUGGAAGAGAGUCCAUUGCUCUGUCCACAGUGGAGACUGGCACAGAGAACCCGGGGCUGGAGCUCAUGGAGGAGUCAGUGGCCUUUCACCAAAGCAACAAGUUUCUGCAAAACACACACCAGAUUGUUCAAGAAGAUCCUGUUGGGCCUGUUGUGUUUGGCCUAUGCUGCCUAUUUCCUGGCAGCUUGCAUCUUGAAUUUCCAGAGGGCACUGGCUUUGUUUGUCAUCACCUGCUUGGUAAUCUUUGCCCUGGUUCUCCCGUUUCUGAAAAAGCUACUGGGCAAAAAAUUAACAAGAUGUCUGAAGCCCUUUGAAAACUCCCGCCUGAGGCUUUGGAUGAAAUGGGUGUUUGCAGGAGUCUCCUUGGUUGUCCUUAUAUUGUGGUUGGCUCUAGACACAGCCCAAAGGCCAGAGCAGCUCAUCUCCUUCGCAGGAAUCUGCAUGUUCAUCCUCAUCCUCUUUGCCUGCUCCAAACACCACAGUGCAGUGUCCUGGAGGGCGGUGUUUUGGGGCCUAGGUCUUCAGUUUGUCUUUGGGGUCUUGGUCAUCAGAACUGAUCUUGGAUAUAAUGCAUUUAAAUGGCUGGGAGAGCAGGUUCAGAUUUUCUUGAAUUACACUGUGGCUGGCUCCAGUUUUGUCUUUGGGGAUAUGCUGGUGAAGGAUGUCUUUGCUUUUCAGACCUUACCAAUUAUCAUUUUCUUUGGAUGUGUAAUGUCCAUUCUUUACUACCUGGGCCUUGUGCAAUGGGUAGUUCAGAAGGUCGCCUGGUUUUUGCAAAUCACUAUGGGCACCACCGCCACAGAGACCCUGGCUGUGGCAGGAAACAUCUUUGUGGGUAUGACAGAGGCACCUCUGCUCAUCCGUCCCUACCUUGCGGACAUGACACUCUCUGAAAUCCAUGCGGUGAUGACUGGAGGGUUCGCCACCAUUUCUGGCACUGUGUUGGGAGCCUUCAUAUCCUUUGGGGUUGAUGCAUCAUCCCUGAUUUCUGCCUCUGUGAUGGCUGCCCCUUGUGCUCUUGCCUUGUCAAAACUGGCAUAUCCAGAAGUGGAGGAGUCCAAGUUCAAGAGUGAGGAGGGGGUAAAACUGCCCUGUGGGAAGGAGAGGAAUGUCCUGGAAGCUGCAAGCAACGGAGCCACAGAUGCCAUAGGCCUUGCUGCUAAUGUAGCAGCCAACCUGGUUGCCUUUUUGGCUGUGUUAGCCUUCAUCAAUGCUGCCCUCUCCUGGCUAGGGGAAUUGGUGGACAUACAGGGGCUCACUUUCCAGGAUCUCUCUUUCACUCAGGUCAUCUGCUCCUAUAUCCUAAGGCCCAUGGUUUUCAUGAUGGGUGUAGAGUGGACAGAUUGUCCAAUGGUGGCUGAGCUGGUGGGAAUCAAGUUCUUCACAAAUGAGUUUGUGGCCUAUCAGCAACUGUCUCAAUAUAAGAACAAACGUCUCUCUGGAGUGGAAGAGUGGAUUGAGGGAGAGAAACAGUGGAUUUCUGUGAGAGCUGAAAUCAUUACAACAUUUUCACUCUGUGGAUUUGCCAAUCUUAGUUCCAUAGGCAUCACACUAGGAGGCUUGACAUCAAUAGUACCUCACCGGAAGAGUGACUUGUCCAAGGUUGUGGUCAGAGCCCUCUUCACAGGGGCCUGUGUAUCCCUUAUCAGUGCCUGUGUGGCAGGAAUCCUCUAUGUCCCCAGGGGAGCUGAAGCUGACUGUGUCUCCUUCCUAAACACAAGUUUCACCAAUAGAACCUACGAGACCUACAUGUGCUGCAGAGGGCUCUUUCAGAGAGCUUUCCAACACAUUAGAGUUUUCUCAUUUGGCUUCUCUCCAUCUAGUCUGGCUCCAUCAGAGAUCUGACUCUUUUCUUCCUAAACCAAUCUGCUAGAAGGACACUGUAUAAUCAGCCUGGAGGAGGGCACACAAUCUCAAGGAUAAGAAGCUUCUGGAAAAUGCAAGCCCAGUUGUUUUGGUGGAUCCUUCUGAAUGAUUAUGCACAGGGACAUGGAUGAAUCUGGAGAACGUCAUCCUCAGCAAACUGACACAAGAACAGAAAAUGAAACACCACAUAUUCUCACUCAUAGGAAGCAAGCUGCCACGUUGUGAGCAGCCCUUAUGAAGAAGUCUGCAAGGCAAGAAACUGAAACUUCUGGCCAACAUCAAGCGAGGAACUGAUGCCUGCCAACAACAACAGGAGUGAGGUUUCGCCACCUUGACCAGGCUGUGAACUCCUAACUUCAAGUGAUCUGCCUGCCUUGGCCUCCCAAAGUGCUGAGAUUACAGGAGCCAAGAGGAAGUCUCUCAAAACUAGUAUGGAAAGGUGUUUUCCCCACAUCAAUCAAUCCAGAUUCAGAGACAUUCUAUUAGUGACAUAUACCCCUUUCUCCCCGUAAAAUAAAGUGUUUUGUGUACUAACAACAUAACUUUAAAAAAAGUAAAAUAGCAUUCUGCAUUUUUAUAAAACUUCAUAAAAAGUCAUAUUGAAACCUCCUUUGCAAAAAUUAUAACAGUGAGAGAAAUCUCACCUGACUCCAUCUUGCUUCUAACCUCACAUGCUAACUGCCUUCCCUCUCCCUGAGCAUAGGCCAAGCUAACUAUGGGAGGAAUUUAGGGUAUAGUUUUGUUUUGUUUUGUUGUUGUUGUUGUUGUUGUUGUUGUUGUUUAGACAGAGUCUCAUUCUGUCACCCAGGAUGGAGUGCAGUGGCACCAUCAUAGCUCACAGCACCCUCAACCUCCUGGGCUCAAAUGAUCCUCCCACCUUAGUCUCCCAAGUAGCUGAGACUCAGGCAUGUGCCAACACACCCAGAUAAUUUUUAAAUUUUUUGUAGACAUGGAGUCUCACUAUACUGUCCAGGCUGGUCUUGUACUCCUGGGCUUGAGUGAUCUCCCCACCUUGAUCUCCCAAAGUGCUGGGAUUGCAGACAUAAACCAUUUCACCCAGCCAGCUUAUAGUUUAACUUUGAAGAAAGGAUGGUAAUAGUCCUUCCCCAAACUGACCCCAUCUGGGGAGUUAAACUACCUUUGUAAGGCUAAUGAAAGGCCGCAAGGUUAAGAUUAUGGGAGGGACCUGAAUUUUUCUAAAAUGUGGGCAUGGUGUUGUUCCCUAGCUUGGUUUUUCUAUAGUUCUUUACUGCUCAGAGGUGAUGUAGUUAGAGAUCACAAGAUUUGUAACUUCCUGAGUUGCUCCUAUAGAUAAUUUACUAUUGUGGAACCUCAGAUUAGUUUUUGAGAUAUUUUUCAGACUUUUGCAUUCUGGCAACUAGCUGAGUCCACCUGGACCUGUGACUCAUACCAAGGAACUAACUGAACCAGUCCUGUGACACCCCACCCAGAGAUUGACUCGACAAAUAAAUACUGUUUUGGACAUGCCUAUGAUUUGAUUCUAUUCUCAGCUAAUCAGAAGCACUCAUUCCCUAGCCCCCUGCCUGCCAAAUUAUGCUUAAAAAACCAAAUUAUGUGAGCCACUGUGCCUAGCUUCCAAGCUUUCAGGGAAGUGGAUUUGAGAAAUGUCUCCUGUCCAUCCACUCAGCUGCCUUGCAAUAAUUGAACUCUUUCUCUACUGCAACAUGCUGUCUCAUUGUAUGGGCUUUUCUGUGCAGUGAGCAAGAAGAUUCCAUUGGGCUGUAAUAGUAUUUCAAACUGUACAGUCACCAGAAGUACAGAUUUACCAAAAAUGCACAUACUUCACUUGAGAUCUCCAGCACCUUCGGUUUUCUGUGCCUUCUCUAUUCUGACAUCUUCAUUUUAUGCAGGGUUAUUCACCUUUUUGUCAGUGUUGGCUCUUCUCCCCUUUGGAUACUUUCUCUCCCUUCUUUGUAGGGGCAUUUUUAGGCUUCAGCUCUGGCUUUGUCAGAGCGUGCUUAGCAGGCAGCCUGUGGAUCUUCCCUGUGGUUUGUCCUUUAUCUUGGCCUUAUCUUCUUUGGCAUUCCCCUCAGCCUUUCUCUUGGGCAUUGGGGGCAAUGGUGGCAACAUAUAGGUGCUGGCUGCGGGGAUGCAGUAGUGCAUGGGGAUGCAGUGGUGCAUGGGCUUUGGUCAGCCUAGGGGACGUUCUUACCUCUUUUUCACACUGCUCCUAUAAUUACUGCUUUUUGCCUUCUUUCUUUUUCUUUCUUUCCUUCCUUCCUUCCUUCCUUCCUUCCUUCCUUCCUUCCUUCCUUCCUUCCUUCCUUCUGUCCUUCUUUCUUUCUUUCUUUCUUUUCUUUCUUUCUGAUGGAGCCUCACUCUGUCUUCCAGGCUGGAAUGCAGUAGUGUGAUCUGAGCUCACUGCAGCCUCCACCUCCCAGGCUCAAGUGAUUCUCCUGCCUCAGCCUCCUGAGUAGCUGGGACUACAGACAUGCACCACCAUGACCAGUGUGGGAUUUCACCAUGUUGGCCAGGCUGGUUUUGAACUCCUGACCUGAGGUGAUCCAUCUGCCUCGGCUUCCCAAAGUGCUGGAAUUACAGGUGUGAGCCACUGUGCCUGGCCUCACAGUUUUCUUAAUCUGGAUUCAAUAAUCUUAUUCACAAGAUAAUUGUAGGGGAGAAAAGAUGCUUCCUUUUACCCUUCCAGGUUCUGUGACUGCCUGAGAAUUAAAUUGAGAGACAGAUUAACAGGAGAAGAACAGUUUUAAUUACAUACAUAUUCAUGGGAAUUUCACAAAAAUAUGAAACUCAAGGAGGCAGCCAGAUGAUUGAGACUUACAUAUCAUCCUGAGCUACAGAAAGAAAUAGGGGUUUAGAGGCUUCUGUUGAGGGGGAGGCAAAUCAUGGGAAAGGGAGAAGAGGAAAUGUGUGAUAAAUAAAGUUUGCCAUAUGCAGCUAAGCCUCUCAGAUCCAGAGAGUAGCUCUCUUCCUUGUAUAGACAUUUUUACUAAUGAAAAUUUCCUUUGUAAAUAUAAAAUUUCUUUACAAAAGGGAAAUUUAGACUUUAUUUUGGAUAGUUGAGGGGGAGAUAAAGAGCUUUCCUGGAAUCAGCUGGUUCUCAAUUACCUUUAGCUCCAAAUAAUCAAUAUGCCAAAAUGGCAUAUUUUGGGCUGUGCCCAACUUGUUCAAAGGGCAACUGUAUUACUACAAUCAAUUUUUUUACCCAUAGAACAUGUCUGACACCAAAUAUGUGGGGUUUUUUUUCCCCAUGCCAACCAUCAAAUUCUCCUUCUCUCCAGAAACCAACUGGUUGUCCAACAAUUCAAUUCAAUUCAAUUCUGACACUAGCUACCUGGUGUUAGUAUCAGAUGGCACAGGUGAAAAGGCCCAGUCUCACAAGUACUUAAUUUCAAAGUACUGGAUCCACAGGACUUCAGAUGCCAAUCACAAGUCUGAGCCUCCCAUAUUUCUGCCUUAAUGGCUAUAAAUUGGGGGUUUCCACGACCCUCUUCUCAGGUUCAAUAAUUUGCUAGAAGGGCUUGUAGAACUCAGGAAAUCAUUAUACUUACAUUUAGCAGUUUAUUUAUAAAGGAUAAAGAUGAACAGGCAGAGGACAAGGUGUGAAACAGGGGAGAUGUGCAGAGCUCCAGUGCCCUCCCUGGGCACCCCACCCUCUCAGUGUAACUGCAGCAGGUCCAUUGCGCCCUGUGCACAGCAAGUCACUAGGCAGAGACACCAGGGUGCAGCAGAGAAAGAGGUUUAAUUGUAGGGUCUCCAAACUAGGAGAUGGGAGGAAACCUCAACUCCAUCUCUCCAAGGAGUCUAGGGCUGGGGAUUCUGAGGGUUUUUUGUUUUUGUUUUGAGCUGGAGUUUCACUCAUCCCCAGGCUGGAGUGCAGUGGCACCAUCACGGCUCAUUGCAACCUCCACCUUCUGGGUUCAAGCAAUUCUCCUGCCUCAGUCUCCAGAGUAGCUGGGAUUACAGAUGCCCACCACUAUGCCCAGCUAAUUUUUGUAUUUUUAGUAGAGAUGGGGGUUUCAGCAUGUUGGCCAGGCUGGUCUUGAACUUCUGACUUCAGGUGAUCCACUCGCCUGGGCCUCCCAAAGUCCUGGCAUUACAGGCAUUAGCCACCACGACCAGCCUGGGGCUGGAGAUUUUAAGGGUUUUAGAGUAGGCUAGGUGUGAAGAUUAUUGAUUGGUUGACGAAUGCAGGGUAAAGAAGCUGUAUUCUCAUGCUGAUUCUAUUUCUCUGUGGGGGUCUUCAAACUGGUUGGUGUCAGUGGUUUCACUGGAGUUUGGGAUCUGAAAACAUCUUAAGCAACCUUUAAACAAAAGCCAUAUGAUUCUUACAUUGGUGAUCCCGUCUAUAGGAACAAUGGGGAUGCAAAUGGACAGUAUCCAGUGCUAUUGACUUUCAGCAACAAGGAAGUGAGCCAAAGUGCAGACUUAUUUAGGCUUAAUUAUGAUGUAAUUUCUGCCCAGAACUCAGCAUGAAUCCUUGUCAACCCUGUGGGGAUGGCUUCAUCAGUGGCUCAAUGUGUUUGCCAACUCGGAAGCUCUCUGAAGCCCUUUGUUUAGGGUUUUUAUGGAGGUUCUAUUACAUAGGCGUAAUUGCUUAAAUCACUGGCCAUUGGUGAUUUACUCAAUCCAGCUUUUCUCUCCCCUCCCUCAAUGGUGAGUAGGGCUGAAAGUUCCAAUCCUCUAAUCACAUGUUUGGUUCCUCUGGCAACCAGUGCCCAUCCUGAAGCUAUCUAUGGGCUUCCAGCCACCAGUCAUCUAAUUAACAUACUUCAUGUACCCUCGAAAGGAGCUUGUUGUAAAUAACAAAAGAUGCUCCUGUCACCUUGAUUACUCAGAAAAUUCCAAGGGUUUUAGAAGCUGUGUGCCUGGAAUCAGGGAUAAAAGCCAACCAUUUUAACAUAAAAAUGCUUCUGUCACUCUUGUCACUCAGGAAGUUACAAGAAUUUUAGAAUCUCUGUACCAGAAACUGGAGAUGAAGACCAAAUAUAUAUUUCUUAUUAUAUCACAAUAUCACAGUCCUUAUCAGGUUGCCAGUUGAAAAGAGAAAGUUGUCCAAAAGUCACAUUUUCAUGUAGGAAAGAAAAGGUUUUUGCUAACACUUCACCCACAAGCUUCUUCUUCUUCUUUUUUUUUUUUUUUUUUUCGCUUUUUUUCUCAGUAGGAUUUUUUUUUUUUUUACUUACGACCUUCUUUAUCAACAAAGUAACUCAUCAUUGGAAUCUGUAUACUCUGUUUAUAUUUUCAGUAUACAUUAGUUGGCCAAAAUUUAGGUGUAAAAGUAGGGAUAGCAACAAAAAAGAAAAAUCAUUUCUGCACCAUAGCAGUUUAAAUGGAUGUGCCUGGCAACCUACUGUAAACCAAAAAUAACAUUUGAAGCCCCCCUCAACCAUCUGAAUGGAUCCCUCUUCUUAGCCAAGGGCAUUCCAAAGUUAACCUGAAAAACUAUUCUGGCCAUAAUGGGAAGUGCUGUUGGACAUGCCUCAUUCUACCCUCCUCCCUUUUGGAAUUACUGAUAGAACAGACCUUUUUAAGUCUGAUAAGAAACAUUUAUAAUCUAUUCUCUCUGAAACCUGCUACCUGGAGGCUUUACCUGCAUGAUAAAACCUUGGUCUCCACAACCCCUUAUCUUAACCCAGACAUUUCUUUCUACUGAUUCUAAGUCUUUAGACAAUAACUAAACUCGGAGAAAGAAAAUAGAAUUCAGCAAUAUUACAAAGAAAUGAAGCGCAUGAAUUCCCAAUUUCAAGGGACCAGCGUAACAGGCAAAGUAAAGAUCCACUCCAAAGCACAUAAUUAUAAAAUAUCAGAACAUUGGGGACAGAAAGAACCUAACAGAGAGGAAAACAAAAUCACUGGAAAGGAUAAAGAAUUGGAAUGGUAUCUGACUUCUCAGCAGCAACUGUGAUAGUAAAGGUCAAUUAAAAAAUGUUUUUUAAAAUGAAAAUUUAUAAGUUCACAUUUUAUUUAGGUUGAAAUAAGCUGUACAGAAUUGAUAUUUCUAACCAAAAAUAACGGCCAUAUUUUCUUUUUCUUUCUUUUUUUUUUUUAAAGAUGGGGUUUCACCAUGAUGGCCAGGCUGGUCUUGAACUCCUGACCUCAGGUGAUCCGCCCACCUUCGCCUCCCACAGUGCUAGAAUUACAGGCAUGAGCCACUCUGCAACCUCUGCCUCCUGGUUUCAAGUGAUUCUCCUGCCUCAGCCUCCCAAGUAGCUGGGAUUAUAGGUGCCUGCCACCACACCCGCCUAUUUUUUUUUUUUUUUUUGUAUUUUUAGUAGAGACGGGGUUUCACCAUGUUGGCAAGGCUGGUCUUGAAAUCCUGACCUUGUGAUCUGCCCUCCUUGGCCUCCCAAAGUGUUGGGAAUACAGGCGUGAGCCACUGUCCCCGGCCAAUAAUAGCCGUAUUUUCUAUCAUAUUUAUAGAUAUGAUAGAAAACAUUUAUACUACAAAACAUUUGUUGUAGCCAGUUUUUCAGGUUUUGAUUUUGAGUCUAGAUGAGGUAGACAUAGUUAUGAAAAAAGAAGAGACCAGACACAUCAGCUGUCUGUAUCCAGGGCUUCUGAUUCUGUCUUGACCAUGAAACUAAAACCCGAUGAAAAGCUUAUGACUUGGGAAGACAUCAGCUCAACAAAGCAGUACAAACAGCAACAAGCAGAAUGAGAACAACGAUGCCAGGCUCUUCCAUUCAAACCUGUUCUUUCAGGGUCACUUGAUAAAGAUCGGUCUUACAAUGACACCCUUGUUGGGUGAGCUGCUUCUCUCACUCUCUGGUAGUUCUCACAACUGUGCAUUAUAGGUUUUUAACAGUAUCCGUAAAAGUCCUACUAGGGAAAAGUGAGUUGUCAGAGUCACUGUGACAUUUUAUAAAACAUAUUCAUUCCUCCUACUCCUACCCAAAAUUUAUUCCUUCAAAGUACUGAUACCUAACUUAAUUUCAAAGUACUGGAUCCACAAUGAUACUAAGUGCUGUGUCUGAAAUUAUUUUAAAACAAUUCUACCAGCCUGGGCAAUAUGUCAAAAACCUAUCUCACCAAAAGAUACAAAAAUUAGCCAGGCAUGGUGGCGUGUGCCUAUAGUCACAGCUACUCAGGAGGCCAAGAUGGGAGGAUCACUUGAGCCUGGGAGACUGAGACUGCAGUGAGCUCUGCACUCUGCAGUGGACUGCCACUGCACUCCAGCCUGGGUGACAGAGUGAGAGUCUGUCUCAAAAUAAAUAAAUAAAUAAAAUUUAAAAAAUAAAAU